Molecule: ribosomal RNA, 114 nt
Filed under: Candidatus Woesearchaeota archaeon
Lineage: Archaea; Nanobdellati; Candidatus Woesearchaeota
Source: RNAcentral
AUGGACGGCCAUAGGGGCUUGGUUCUACCCGAUCCCAUUUCGAACUCGGCAGUCAAGCAAGCCUCCGUUUUAUCAAGUACUGCACUACGCGGGAACCAUAGAAAGCUGUCCUCU